GCUUUGGUUGCCUAGUGGUUAGAGCGUCCACCUCGGAUGCGGGAGGUCGUGGGUUCUAUCCCCGGUUGAGCCA
Potamilus streckersoni is the source of this 73-nucleotide non-coding RNA. The record is from the annotation of a GenBank genome assembly. NCBI's taxonomy places the organism in Eukaryota, Metazoa, Mollusca, Bivalvia, Unionida, Unionidae.